CUCCUAGGGGCGCAGCAGUGGGGAAUAUUGCGCAAUGGGCGAAAGCCUGACGCAGCGACGCCGCGUGAGGGAUGGAGGUCUUCGGAUCGUAAACCUCUGUCAGCAGGGAAGAACGGUCACUGUGCUAAUCAGCAGUGAAUUGACGGUACCUGCAAAGGAAGCACCGGCUAACUCCGUGCCAGCAGCCGCGGUAAUACGGAGGGUGCGAGCGUUAAUCGGAAUUACUGGGCGUAAAGCGCUCGUAGGCGGUAUGUCAAGUCAAGGGUGAAAUCCGCGCGCUGAACGUGGGAACUGGCUUUGAAACU
This 305-nucleotide ribosomal RNA is filed under the name uncultured bacterium. RNAcentral's name for it is "bacterial SSU rRNA". It matches the Rfam family "Bacterial small subunit ribosomal RNA", at positions 337 to 634 of the family's 1533-position model. The record is from RNAcentral.